AUGAAGCCCAGCUUGCUGGGUGGAUUAGUGGCGAACGGGUGAGUAACACGUGAGUAACCUGCCCUGGACUCUGGGAUAAGCGUUGGAAACGACGUCUAAUACCGGAUAGGACCUUCGACCGCAUGGUUGGGGGUGGAAAGUUUUUCGGUCUGGGAUGGACUCGCGGCCUAUCAGCUUGUUGGUGAGGUAAUGGCUCACCAAGGCGUCGACGGGUAGCCGGCCUGAGAGGGUGACCGGCCACACUGGGACUGAGACACGGCCCAGACUCCUACGGGAGGCAGCAGUGGGGAAUAUUGCACAAUGGGCGAAAGCCUGAUGCAGCAACGCCGCGUGCGGGAUGACGGCCUUCGGGUUGUAAACCGCUUUUAGUAAGGAAGAAGGGGAGCUUGCUCCUUGACGGUACUUGCAGAAAAAGGACCGGCUAACUACGUGCCAGCAGCCGCGGUAAUACGUAGGGUCCGAGCGUUGUCCGGAAUUAUUGGGCGUAAAGAGCUCGUAGGCGGUUUGUCGCGUCUGCUGUGAAAUCUGGAGGCUCAACCUCCAGCCUGCAGUGGGUACGGGCAGACUAGAGUGCGGUAGGGGAGAAUGGAAUUCCUGGUGUAGCGGUGGAAUGCGCAGAUAUCAGGAGGAACACCGAUGGCGAAGGCAGUUCUCUGGGCCGUAACUGACGCUGAGGAGCGAAAGCGUGGGGAGCGAACAGGAUUAGAUACCCUGGUAGUCCACGCCGUAAACGUUGGGCGCUAGAUGUGGGGACCUUUCCACGGUUUCCGUGUCGUAGCUAACGCAUUAAGCGCCCCGCCUGGGGAGUACGGCCGCAAGGCUAAAACUCAAAGGAAUUGACGGGGGCCCGCACAAGCGGCGGAGCAUGCGGAUUAAUUCGAUGCAACGCGAAGAACCUUACCAAGGCUUGACAUGACCGAGAACGCCGCAGAAAUGUGGAACUCUUUGGACACUCGGUUACAGGUGGUGCAUGGUUGUCGUCAGCUCGUGUCGUGAGAUGUUGGGUUAAGUCCCGCAACGAGCGCAACCCUCGUCGCAUGUUGCCAGCACGUAAUGGUGGGAACUCAUGUGAGACUGCCGGGGUCAACUCGGAGGAAGGUGGGGAUGACGUCAAAUCAUCAUGCCCCUUAUGUCUUGGGCUUCACGCAUGCUACAAUGGCCGGUACAAAGGGCUGCGAUGUCGUAAGGCGGAGCGAAUCCCAAAAAGCCGGUCUCAGUUCGGAUUGAGGUCUGCAACUCGACCUCAUGAAGUCGGAGUCGCUAGUAAUCGCAGNUCAGC
Molecule: ribosomal RNA, 1279 nt
Filed under: Agromyces sp.
Lineage: Bacteria; Bacillati; Actinomycetota; Actinomycetes; Micrococcales; Microbacteriaceae
Description: bacterial SSU rRNA
Rfam family: Bacterial small subunit ribosomal RNA
Source: RNAcentral